UUUGGUUAAGUUAGAAAGGGCGCACGGUGGAUGCCUUGACACUAGGAGUCGAUGAAGGACGGGACUAACGCCGAUAUGCUUCGGGGAGCUGUAAGUAAGCUUUGAUCCGAAGAUUUCCGAAUGGGGAAACCCACCAUACGUAAUGGUAUGGUAUCCUUAUCUGAAUACAUAGGGUAAGGAAGACAGACCCAGGGAACUGAAACAUCUAAGUACCUGGAGGAAGAGAAAGCAAAUGCGAUUUCCUGAGUAGCGGCGAGCGAAACGGAACAUAGCCCAAACCAAGAGGCUUGCCUCUUGGGGUUGUAGGACAUUCUAUACGGAGUUACAAAGGAACGAGGUAGACGAAGCGACCUGGAAAGGUCCGUCGUAGAGGGUAACAACCCCGUAGUCGAAACUUCGUUCUCUCUUGAAUGUAUCCUGAGUACGGCGGAACACGUGAAAUUCCGUCGGAAUCUGGGAGGACCAUCUCCCAAGGCUAAAUACUCCCUAGUGAUCGAUAGUGAACCAGUACCGUGAGGGAAAGGUGAAAAGCACCCCGGAAGGGGAGUGAAAGAGAUCCUGAAACCGUGUGCCUACAAAUAGUCAGAGCCCGUUAACGGGUGAUGGCGUGCCUUUUGUAGAAUGAACCGGCGAGUUACGAUCCCGUGCGAGGUUAAGCUGAAGAGGCGGAGCCGCAGCGAAAGCGAGUCUGAAUAGGGCGUUUAGUACGUGGUCGUAGACCCGAAACCAGGUGAUCUACCCAUGUCCAGGGUGAAGUUCAGGUAACACUGAAUGGAGGCCCGAACCCACGCACGUUGAAAAGUGCGGGGAUGAGGUGUGGGUAGCGGAGAAAUUCCAAUCGAACCUGGAGAUAGCUGGUUCUCCCCGAAAUAGCUUUAGGGCUAGCCUUAAGUGUAAGAGUCUUGGAGGUAGAGCACUGAUUGGACUAGGGGUCCUCAUCGGAUUACCGAAUUCAGUCAAACUCCGAAUGCCAAUGACUUAUCCUUAGGAGUCAGACUGCGAGUGAUAAGAUCCGUAGUCAAAAGGGAAACAGCCCAGACCGCCAGCUAAGGUCCCAAAGUGUGUAUUAAGUGGAAAAGGAUGUGGAGUUGCUUAGACAACUAGGAUGUUGGCUUAGAAGCAGCCACCAUUUAAAGAGUGCGUAAUAGCUCACUAGUCGAGUGACUCUGCGCCGAAAAUGUACCGGGGCUAAAUACACCACCGAAGCUGCGGAUUGAUACCGAAUGGUAUCAGUGGUAGGGGAGCGUUCUAAGGACAGUGAAGUCAGACCGGAAGGACUGGUGGAGUGCUUAGAAGUGAGAAUGCCGGUAUGAGUAGCGAAAGACGGGUGAGAAUCCCGUCCACCGAAUGCCUAAGGUUUCCUGAGGAAGGCUCGUCCGCUCAGGGUUAGUCAGGACCUAAGCCGAGGCCGACAGGCGUAGGCGAUGGACAACAGGUUGAUAUUCCUGUACCACCUCUUUAUCGUUUGAGCAAUGGAGGGACGCAGAAGGAUAGAAGAAGCGUGCGAUUGGUUGUGCACGUCCAAGCAGUUAGGCUGAUAAGUAGGCAAAUCCGCUUAUCGUAAAGGCUGAGCUGUGAUGGGGAAGCUCCUUAUGGAGCGAAGUCUUUGAUUCCCCGCUGCCAAGAAAAGCUUCUAGCGAGAUAAAAGGUGCCUGUACCGCAAACCGACACAGGUAGGCGAGGAGAGAAUCCUAAGGUGUGCGAGAGAACUCUGGUUAAGGAACUCGGCAAAAUGACCCCGUAACUUCGGGAGAAGGGGUGCUUUCUUAACGGAAAGCCGCAGUGAAUAGGCCCAAGCGACUGUUUAGCAAAAACACAGCUCUCUGCGAAGCCGUAAGGCGAAGUAUAGGGGGUGACACCUGCCCGGUGCUGGAAGGUUAAGGAGAGGGGUUAGCGUAAGCGAAGCUCUGAACUGAAGCCCCAGUAAACGGCGGCCGUAACUAUAACGGUCCUAAGGUAGCGAAAUUCCUUGUCGGGUAAGUUCCGACCCGCACGAAAGGUGUAACGAUUUGGGCACUGUCUCAACCAGAGACUCGGUGAAAUUAUAGUACCUGUGAAGAUGCAGGUUACCCGCGACAGGACGGAAAGACCCCGUGGAGCUUUACUGUAGCCUGAUAUUGAAUUUUGGUACAGUUUGUACAGGAUAGGCGGGAGCCUUUGAAACCGGAGCGCUAGCUUCGGUGGAGGCGCUGGUGGGAUACCGCCCUGACUGUAUUGAAAUUCUAACCUACGGGUCUUAUCGACCCGGGAGACAGUGUCAGGUGGGCAGUUUGACUGGGGCGGUCGCCUCCUAAAGUGUAACGGAGGCGCCCAAAGGUUCCCUCAGAAUGGUUGGAAAUCAUUCGUAGAGUGUAAAGGCAUAAGGGAGCUUGACUGCGAGACCUACAAGUCGAGCAGGGACGAAAGUCGGGCUUAGUGAUCCGGUGGUUCCGCAUGGAAGGGCCAUCGCUCAACGGAUAAAAGCUACCCCGGGGAUAACAGGCUUAUCUCCCCCAAGAGUCCACAUCGACGGGGAGGUUUGGCACCUCGAUGUCGGCUCAUCGCAUCCUGGGGCUGUAGUCGGUCCCAAGGGUUGGGCUGUUCGCCCAUUAAAGCGGUACGCGAGCUGGGUUCAGAACGUCGUGAGACAGUUCGGUCCCUAUCCGUCGUGGGCGUAGGAAAUUUGAGAGGAGCUGUCCUUAGUACGAGAGGACCGGGAUGGACGCACCGCUGGUGUACCAGUUGUUCUGCCAAGGGCAUAGCUGGGUAGCUAUGUGCGGAAGGGAUAAGUGCUGAAAGCAUCUAAGCAUGAAGCCCCCCUCAAGAUGAGAUUUCCCAUAGCGUAAGCUAGUAAGAUCCCUGAAAGAUGAUCAGGUUGAUAGGUUCGAGGUGGAAGCAUGGUGACAUGUGGAGCUGACGAAUACUAAUAGAUCGAGGACUUAACCAUAUAA
RNAcentral lists this ribosomal RNA (2930 nucleotides) under Bacillus cereus. RNAcentral's name for it is "bacterial LSU rRNA". It matches the Rfam family "Bacterial large subunit ribosomal RNA". Lineage: Bacteria; Bacillati; Bacillota; Bacilli; Caryophanales; Bacillaceae. The record is from RNAcentral.